Molecule: ribosomal RNA, 373 nt
Filed under: uncultured Bacteroidota bacterium
Lineage: Bacteria; Pseudomonadati; Bacteroidota
Description: bacterial SSU rRNA
Rfam family: Bacterial small subunit ribosomal RNA
Source: RNAcentral
UAAUACGGAGGGUGCAAGCGUUAUCCGGAUUUAUUAGGUUUAAAGGGUCCGCAGGCGGAAUAUUAAGUCAGUGGUGAAAGCCUACAGCUCAACUGUAGAACUGCCAUUGAAACUGUUAUUCUUGAGUAUGGAUGAAGUGGGCGGAAUAUGUCAUGUAGCGGUGAAAUGCAUAGAUAUGACAUGGAACACCAAUUGCGAAGGCAGCUCACUAAACCAUUACCGACGCUCAUGGACGAAAGCGUGGGGAGCGAACAGGAUUAGAUACCCUGGUAGUCCACGCCGUAAACGAUGAUCACUAGAUGUUGGCGAUAUAAUGUCAGCGUUCAAGAGAAAUCGAUAAGUGAUCCACCUGGGGAGUACGUUCGCAAGAAUG